Vicugna pacos (alpaca) is the source of this 3262-nucleotide non-coding RNA. NCBI's taxonomy places the organism in Eukaryota, Metazoa, Chordata, Mammalia, Artiodactyla, Camelidae. The record is from RefSeq and is a predicted model, not a curated record.
GUCACACAGAGUGGGGGUCACCUGCAGGCUGUGUGCCUCAGGCACCACACUCAGCCUUUUUUGCCUCAGUCCAUGAGUCCUGAUUCCCAGGAGUCUUCUGUUGACCCCAGAUUGGAUUAAAGGGCCAGAGAAUAGGACGUGCCCAAGGCACCAAUGUCUAAGCAUCACCAAAAUGUCACUGGGAGGAUGGUGUGGGUUUGCAAAGCCUCUGAAGUGGGGAUGAGGUUCUGGAGAAGCCUGCUCCCAUGCGAGGCUCCAGGGAGGGUGGGCCCCGGUAUCUUCUAAGGAGGGUGACCCCGUAACUGCAGGGCUCUGUCUUACUGAGGUGGGGGGAUGCAAGUCUGGGGCCAGAGUGGAAUUGCUCAGGGUGGGCAAAGAAGGUUGAAGCUGCCACCCACAUCUUCCCUCCCCUUCUUCAUACAACACCUGCCCCUCUGCUACGUGACAGCUGAACACCUAUUUCAUUAAUCUUGGCUACCGAGGUGGGAGAUGGUUAGCUUGUCCAGGGCACCUCAGACCUCAGCCUUGAGCAGUGUUCACAGGGUGUGAUCCUAGCUGAAAUCAUAGCAUAGUAAGCCCUUAAGAUACCUGCUUGUAGGGGUCGGGGAGGCACUUUCUAUAAGAGACAGUCGUUAAGUCUCUACAGUUCUGGUGAGGCCUGAUCCACCCUCCCUUCUGCUUACCACAUACAGGCAUCUGCCCUCUGCUCCUGCUGGCCUCCAGAAGAAAAGCCCGCCCUGGUAGCCUGGCAUCCAACUGCCCGUGCUCUGGCCCCUUCUAAUGCCCCUGCCUCAUCUUCUGAUGCCCCUGACCACAGCCACCCUGAAGGACUCUCAGGUCUCACAUCCAUGCCUUUGCCGCGUUACUUCCUCUGCCUCAAAUGCACUUCUCCGCUUUGAUCAUCACAAAACAAACUUCUAAGCAUCCCUCAAAACCUAGAUCAGAGGUGCCCUUCUUCAGAAGCCUUCGAGACCCUUCAUGUAGCAGCUGGCCUCUUGCCCUGUGCCUUCUUUGUGUCCUGUACACUGUUCAACAUGAAGCAUGACUCUUGAUAGCAGGUGGCUUAAGAGAAAAAAAAAGUAUUUUUUUCCUUUCAGAUCGGUUUAUUUAAUGGAAACAUUCAGGUGGUAGAAUGACUUCCAACACAGCUGAGACAAAGGGUUAAACUGAGCCACUGAGACUGCUUCUAGCUGUGGACAGGCUCUGCCUUCCUUCAUGGAGACUUCGCUCCCUGGCAGCCCCCAGAACCUUCUCCGAGCUCAGCUCUACACUCCCAGCUUGAAGUUCAGCCCAAGGCUUCCUGCAAAAGUCUCAGGACUGAGUCUCAUUGGUCUGGUUUGGGUCACGGGCUGAGCCUGAGCCAAUUGCUGUGGCCAGGGGAUCGACAGCUCUGAUUGGCCCAGCCUGAGUCACAUGACACCCCUGGAGCCCAGAGACCAGAGUGGGAAGGGGCAGCUCCUGCAGGGAAGUUGGGGUCCUGGAAUCUGAGGCCAGGUGGGGACCCGGCAGCCAAAACCCACAGGUGCCUAUCACAGACCCCCUUGGAGCACUUUCCACCCUGUGCAAUUACUUGUUCAUAUGUCUCUCCUCCAGCUGGUCAGGAAUAAGCGUCCUUCUCACUUACAAUUCCAGAACAUCAUUCCAGCCUGAGGGAACAGCAGUCUAAUAAGUGGCCGUUAAGUUGUACUUUUGAGGCAUUUCCUUGCUGUGUGACCUACAUAGCAAGUAAAUCAGGGCAGAGUCUGACGAAGAUUUUUGUGACAUGUAUGUUAAGGUAACGCCUCCUGACAUUAAAAAAAAAUCACAAAUGGAUUGUUUUCUCAGUGCCUGUGUCCACACAGGGUGAGCCCACGUGUCCUUUGUGGAAUCCUCACGAUGCUUGGGGAAGGGGACUCCGUCCUUGACAGGUGAGAGCACUGAAGCCCAGAUGCCGUGAGUAGCUUAUCAGGGAGACACAGCCGGCUGGUGGCAUGGCUGGGAGUGAAUUCCCAGGACUUUCUGACGGUUUGCUGAAGGGGUUCUCAGUUCAGGGGGACAGAGGGAGGGUCUUGCGAUUGCCUUUGGGGCUUUUUGAAACUAUUCCUCUGUCUUAGUUUGGAUUCCCUCGGAGGCAGACCUGGACUGGAGGAUUCAAGUGCAUGCGUUUUGCCUGUGAGGGGAUCCAGGGGGCUCGGCCAAGAGACAGCCUGCAUGAGACGCAGAGGGCCAGGCAGCCAGGGAAGAGCGCUUCCGAUGUGGACCCUGCUGGGGGCAACUGGAGCGGAAUGCCGUGGAGCCGACUGGGGGUCAGGGAGGAACGGAGCUCAGAGCUGCCCUACCUGAGGGGCGAGGGAGCUGGCGUGCUUCCACCCCGACUCUCUGCAGCCAUUGGCCAGGGCUGCUCCCAGGGGGCGGUGCCUUGCCAAUAUGUCCAGCAGCCAGAAGAAGGCCUCGGGCACCGCCAGAUGGACCCUCGCAGGACACGUCAUGGCGGAGGCUGCUGCCACCCUUCUUCCCCCAAGCUGGGGGCCGCUGUGUAGACUCACAGGCCGAAAUAUCUGAAAUUGGGGUCAUCCUAGACCCUUAAUCAGAGCGGCUCAGGCGCCUGCCUCAUCCCCAGAGCCUGAGGGGCCCGAGGGGGAGGUGGCCGGCACACAGGAGGUGCUCUUGCAAUAUUAUUGAACACUGAUUUCUCUUUCUUCCCUAAAGUGCAGGGCAGGAACGCCACUUAGGCAACGUGAGAUGGAGCUGAUCAAGACCCGGAUCUGGUGGGAGAGCAGCCCUCUGGACGGUGCUCGCUGAGAACAGGGGCUCUCCGCACCAGCCCAGCAGCCGGCACGUGGAAAGUAAGUGCUCAGUAAAUAUCUGCUCAUUGGACGAGUGAUUGGAUCAUCUGAGAUGCGGUCUUGGACCCCAGACUCAAGGCUAAUGUGAGGCCACCCCAGAGUCUCAGAGCAAGGAACUGGCAAGUGAACCAAAUCACUGCAUAUGGAAGAAAUGAAUGAGUGAAUAAGUGAGUGCUGUGGUGAGAAGAGCCUCAGACCAGAGAUGAAGGCUUGGAUUUGAAUCCAGGAUUUACCACUGACUAGCUCUGACCCUCAGUUCACCAUCUAUAAAACGGAGAGAAUAAAACCUUCUGGGCCUGGCUGUUAUGACGGUGAAAUGAAAUUGGCAAAUACACGCCUAAGGCAACCGACUUACAGCACACGCUCAUGCCAGUUCGGUUCACCCUUCUCAUCUUAUAGCCCCGGGCACUUGGCACAGGGCUAGGCAUGUGUAUGGC